Long non-coding RNA from Macadamia integrifolia, 3056 nucleotides. RefSeq lists it as uncharacterized. NCBI's taxonomy places the organism in Eukaryota, Viridiplantae, Streptophyta, Magnoliopsida, Proteales, Proteaceae. The record is from RefSeq and is a predicted model, not a curated record. The transcript has 3 exons.
AAGAUUUCUGCUGCAGUGGGAUAGAUUUAAGCUUUCCAUAGCAACAAACCAGAAAUCCUCUUGUGAAAUCCAAGAGGAUCAGAAUAACGAACAAAUUCAUUGUGAACAUACUUCAGCUUGAUGUCGUUCUGUUUUAUCAGCUGCUGCAUGGGACUGGAGAGUUGAUCCUGUGCUGUACCCAGAACUGCCUGGAGAUUCCUCAUAUAAAUCUUGUUGCCUACAUGAUUGAAACUCCACCAGUUAGACCUCAUAAGCUGUCGAAAGCUACUUACAUCAGAAUAUAUUUAUGCUAUUUCUACCUCCAUAAUAGUUGACUUUCCAUAUUAUCAUGGGCUAAAUCCUCUGCCAAGUCUCUGUAAUCAUCGAAUAGAAAAUCCGUUUCAGAGAUUCUGUAGCUUAGCAGAUUGCUAUCUUUGUUUCGGUUUAAGAAAUCUUGCAGUUCCUGAAAAUUAAAAGACAAUAUUAGGGAACUUGCGAAUUCUGUUUCCAACUUGUUGACUAGAAACUGCAAAACUGAGAUACUCAUUGCAGAGGAGAAGACUUCACCAACAGCCUACCAACAUAUGUAGCACAUAGAUCUAUGGGUUGGUUUGGUCAUUCAAUAUUUCUAGCUUGAAGAUAUCAUAACUAAGUCAACCUUACUAAAUGGUCAUUACCACCUUUUUGCAGAUUUCUCUGAAAUCACCUCAGGUUUUUGAGGGUGCAAAAGUAUUAGGUAUGAUGAUUAGAGUUAAGUGUGUCCUAGUGGACUAGUUGGACUGGGUGUUGGGCUGGGGGUUGGCGAAGUUCUAACCAGGGGUGGCAAUGGGGCUGGAGUUUAUCCAAUACUGGACCCUACCCAUUUCAAACAUUGCUCAACCAAGACCCACUCCAACCCAUGAAGCAGACAUGGGGCUUGCCAAUUUUCCAAGGCAAUGGGGCAGGACCUGAUAUGUUCGAGGGCAGAUAAGAUAUGAUUAUAGAACACAACACGCACAGGACAGAAGCAUAGCAAUCCAAGUAAGUACACAAUAUGGCAGAGUAGAGAAAGUCGAAUAAUUCAGGAUCCAACGGUCAGAUGGAGCUGAGAUUUAGUUCAAUUAGACCCCGCACUAUAGUUAUCAAGGUGACAAGGUGACCAAGGCGAUGGAGGAUGUCAAAAAAACAAGGCAACACCAACAAGGCGACACCUUAGCACCUAGGCUAAGUUAGGCCAAGGUUGGGAGUAGCUUGUAAGUUAGCAUUGCAAGGAAAUGAAACUCCCUUAAAAAGAGGAAACAAUUACAAUAGAAAUAGAAAGUAAUCCAUGAUAGAAACUCGUACUUAGCCUAACUUAUUCACCAAGUAGCUAUUACAUGAAAGUAGAAAUGAAAAGGAGCUAUAACAUGAAAAUAGAAAGUAAUUUGAAACUCCAAAAAGAUCUUGGCAGUUCCUAUUCGUUCCAUGCCAUCUGUCCUCAUGUCGCCCAUGCUAGGCCAUGUGAAACCCAAGUCUGGUCCAAACAGCCUGGCCUACAUGAUGGCCUAGUUAAGGACCAGAACCAGAACCGUGGCCACUGUUAUGGGCCUGGUUCUGGCCUAGGGCCUUAACCAUUGUCUGCUGGCCUUUCUUCUUCCUCAUACGUGCAUACCUGUACUGCAUCAGAGCCCCUGCAGGCUCGCUUGAGAUCUGGCAGGGUGUGUGGCCCAUUGGUCUUUUUCAAACCCAAACCAAACCCUAACCCAGUCUAGGAGGGCUGGCUGGGAUAUGGUUCUCAUUUAACCUAUCCAUUACCUUCCCUAUUUCUGACUAAUCUUUGUCCAGGUCAAAUGAUAUGUCAUGUUUGGCUAGUUGCCUAUUUGUCUAACCCAGACCGGUUUCUAAUACAGAUUGCAAAUAAGGACAUAAUAUCCAUGUCUGAGCUGGUUUCAAUGUGGGAUGUCAAUAUCUGACAUGGUUUUCCUCAAACAUCAUCUUUGAGUAUAUUUUAACCCAAACCUGAUGGUCGAAUGAAAUCUUAUCAAGGUAAUAAACAUAUUUUAACCUAAAUAAUCUUGUUAUGUUUCAUGUAUUAGCAUUUCAAAUUCAGACAAACUGUCAAUAUAUCUGAAUUGUCAAACCAAACUCGACCUGGUUAUUUGCUAUAUGGCAUUCUUGUUCGAACCUGCUUUUAUCUGGGUUGGACAGAAUCGGUUCAAUGGGCCAGUCAAUUUUUUUUGGCUACCCUAGGAGUUUUUCUUUUUCUAUUUUCUCCUGAUCCACCCCUAGGUUGACUGCUUCUAAUUGCUCUGUCCAUGGACCACCAGGCACAAUGUUACUAUUCGAUUAACUUAGACUUUUGCAGUCAGACGGUUUGGACUGUUACCUCUAAGCCCAAGAGGUCCAAGGCCUGGUCAGUUUUCGAAUAUAUUGGUCUUUGAGCCAUAGGAUUUCCUAGGAAGGGCCACUACAGUAGAUAUGUGAUGCAUGGGCUGGAUGUGGUGAUGGACUGUUGGUAGACCAUCACAAAAGAAUUACAUUCAGUACCUCCACUUGAAAAUCUAAGCAAGUACGAUUAUUUCCCUCACCUUCCAGGCAUUUUCAAGACUCUGGUUGGUGUUAUCUGUGUUAACUUUCAGUGCCAGCGAGCUGAGCAGUUCUGCUUGCUGCAUCAAAGCAGUGAUCUUUGGGUCAUCCCUUCUAAGAAAUGUUCCCUGGACCUUGUUAUCUUCAGCUGCCAUUGAUCAGAAGGGAAAAUUGGUGUUAACUUCUCUUGAAGGAAACAGUGGUGGUCUGUUAAGGGGAAGAAGAAAAUGAGAGGAAUGAAUAAUGGACAAAAACAACAAAAAUGCAGUGGGGAAACUUUGGCCAACAUUCUGUUGGUCACCGUAACACACAUGCUGUUCCUCCCACUAAUGUUACCCGUAUAUGGCAAGGACAUGGUUCAGUGUGAAAUCUACUUUGAAAAUAGGAGUAUCCAGGUUUGAGAGGUGGUUUACCAUCAUUAAAGGCUACUUUGGUGUUGUUGCUGACUUGCUGCUGAGCUGACAAGUUGCCAACAUUGUGGAAGUUUUGAACCAAUUCCGCAAAGGGAGGUCUCAACUGCUGUUUCUCUGUGC